UCCUCAAUAGCUUAGUGGUAAAGUGGUCAAUUGUUAAUUGACUGGUCGUAGGUUCGAAUCCUAUUUGGGAAG
This is a non-coding RNA of Quercus robur (English oak), 72 nucleotides long. The record is from the annotation of a RefSeq genome assembly. Lineage: Eukaryota; Viridiplantae; Streptophyta; Magnoliopsida; Fagales; Fagaceae.